AACCGAGAGAUCGGCGUUCCCCUUCGGGGGACAGGGUGACAGGUGGUGCAUGGUUGUCGUCAGCUCGUGUCGUGAGAUGUUGGGUUAAGUCCCGCAACGAGCGCAACCCUCGACCUUAGUUGCCAGCAUUCAGUUGGGCACUCUAAGGUGACUGCCGGCUAAAAGUCGGAGGAAGGUGGGGAUGACGUCAAAUCAUCAUGCCCCUUAUGACCUGGGCUACACACGUGCUACAAUGGGCGGUACAAAGGGUCGCGAACCCGCGAGGGGGAGCCAAUCCCAAAAAGCCGCUCUCAGUUCGGAUUGCAGGCUGCAACUCGCCUGCAUGAAGCCGGAAUCGCUAGUAAUCGCGGAUCAGCACGCCGCGGUGAAUACGUUCCCGGGCCUU
This 385-nucleotide ribosomal RNA is filed under the name uncultured Anoxybacillus sp. RNAcentral's name for it is "bacterial SSU rRNA". It matches the Rfam family "Bacterial small subunit ribosomal RNA", at positions 997 to 1382 of the family's 1533-position model. The record is from RNAcentral. Lineage: Bacteria; Bacillati; Bacillota; Bacilli; Caryophanales; Anoxybacillaceae.